GGAACUCCUCCAUGGCCGCUCCGGCCGCCACCGGAACGGCCGGGCCGCCGCCCCGCCCCUGCGCGCGCUUCCGGGAGGCGGCGCCGGCCGCGCGCGCCAUGGAGGAGCGGGACACCCGCGGCGGCUUCGGGAAGGACACGGUGGACCGGCUGCUCCGCCGGCACUUCCGCGACCGGAGGACUCGAGGUACCGGGGCGGCGGGCGGGCCGGGCUGGGCCGGGCCGGGCCCGGCCCCCUCCCUCCCUGAGCGUUUCGCCGUUGCAGUUAACGGCGACGCGCUGCUGCUGAUGGCGGAGAUGCUGAAGGUCUUUGUCCGAGCUGCUGGAUUUCUAGAGGGCUGGUGAAGCAGAAGAUCCCAGCCCCACCGUGAGCGCCCGGCUCCAGGAAGAACAGUCUCAGCUUUUUCCUUCUCUGCCAUUGUGCUCCUGUUUCCUCCCUCCUUCACCAGGACGACAAAGCCUCAGGCAACUGUGCUCUCAGAUGCUAUUUUUGACAAGCGGCUGGCACAUGCUUUAUUUUGGUCGGCCAAGUGUGUAACUGGUUUCCAUCUUGCUCUUUAAUUCCUUUACCAGUAGCGUGUACUUCACAGCACGGGGAGAUGCUGUUGCUUCCUCAGCUAAUGCGAGAAACAGGUACUGCUGCUGCUUCACAGAGAUGCAUGGAAAGAUUAACGGCUGGAAAUGUCAUCCAAACGUCAGGCUCUCAGCACCUCAGCAGGCAGCUGCAGCAGGGACUUUAGGUCCAGCUCCAAGCCUGUCUAAUGAAUAGGUUGUUAACAAGAGUUCAGUCACAGGCUCUUGCCAAAAGCAGGUACUUGCAGGUGACAGCUAUGGUGCCAGCUCUUUGUCAAAACUGGUGGAGUCAAACCAGCUCACCAAAUCAGUAACGUUUGAUGUUGCCUGCGCUCUUCAGAAAGUCAGAGUAGUGCAUCCGAAAGCACAGCCCAGCGUCCGCCCAAGCAGACUGCUGCUGUCCGCCGUGACCCUCCACGAGCGCUGUCCGUCCUGCGUGAACUCAGCAGAGCAGCUCUGGCUACCGGGUACCUCCGACUUGUGGGGACAGAGCGACCCCGACACAGCACCUGAACCGAGACACAGUCCGUCCUACGGAGUGCAGGCUCAGCCCACGCUGCAUCCACUGAAGCAAUAAACUUUAAACAUUAUGUUAGUGGGUUUUGUUCCACUGUAGUGGGUCUCUAAGCCUGGCAGAGCCAGAAGGGCCCGCUCUGUGCAUGAGGGGCUCAGAGCAGCAGCUGUGCGCCGUGCUGCUGCGUUCCCCAGCGGCCACACGCGUUCCCUGUUUAUGUUUGGGCGUUCUAUAAGAAAUCAAUCAACACUUUUGCUAAAGCAUUUUGCUCCCUCCA
This is an RNA transcript of Columba livia (rock pigeon), 1363 nucleotides long. It is a transcript of the gene named centromere protein X-like, with no coding region annotated. The transcript is spliced from 4 exons. Lineage: Eukaryota; Metazoa; Chordata; Aves; Columbiformes; Columbidae. The record is from RefSeq and is a predicted model, not a curated record.